RNAcentral lists this ribosomal RNA (580 nucleotides) under uncultured marine bacterium. RNAcentral describes it as "bacterial SSU rRNA". It matches the Rfam family "Bacterial small subunit ribosomal RNA", at positions 89 to 704 of the family's 1533-position model. The record is from RNAcentral.
GGGUUAGUGGCGCACGGGUGCGUAACGCGUGGGAACCUGCCUUUAGGUUCGGAAUAACUCAGAGAAAUUUGAGCUAAUACCGGAUAAUGUCUUCGGACCAAAGAUUUAUCGCCUUUAGAUGGGCCCGCGUUAGAUUAGAUAGUUGGUGGGGUAAUGGCCUACCAAGUCGACGAUCUAUAGCUGGUCUGAGAGGAUGAUCAGCCACACUGGGACUGAGACACGGCCCAGACUCCUACGGGAGGCAGCAGUGGGGAAUAUUGGACAAUGGGCGAAAGCCUGAUCCAGCAAUGCCGCGUGAGUGAUGAAGGCCUUAGGGUUGUAAAGCUCUUUUACCAGGGAUGAUAAUGACAGUACCUGGAGAAUAAGCUCCGGCUAACUCCGUGCCAGCAGCCGCGGUAAUACGGAGGGAGCUAGCGUUGUUCGGAAUUACUGGGCGUAAAGCGCGCGUAGGCGGCUUUUCAAGUCAGGGGUGAAAUCCCGGGGCUCAACCCCGGAACUGCCCUUGAAACUGGAUGGCUAGAAUACUGGAGAGGUGAGUGGAAUUCCGAGUGUAGAGGUGAAAUUCGUAGAUAUUCGGAAG